GUCAUGAAUAAUCGAAAAUGCUUCAAACAGCAAAAGGGAGGCUUCUUCUGGUUAUGUGUAUUGUUGAGUAAAUGUUUUAUGUCAAUCAGUCGUAGCAAACUUGGGUUAUCGUCAUGACGUAGGAAAGUGUAACAAACAGAUAGAAUGAGUGAAUACUAUAGGGCGCGAACAUUAUUUUUUUUUAUGGCGGGGGCUCUCAUAAAUUAUGGUAACAUCUCAGGGUAUUCAUACGACUCAUUGCUU
This 243-nucleotide long non-coding RNA is filed under the name Mytilus galloprovincialis (Mediterranean mussel). The record is from RNAcentral. Lineage: Eukaryota; Metazoa; Mollusca; Bivalvia; Mytilida; Mytilidae.